This 439-nucleotide ribosomal RNA is filed under the name uncultured bacterium. RNAcentral describes it as "partial 16S ribosomal RNA". It matches the Rfam family "Bacterial small subunit ribosomal RNA", at positions 339 to 795 of the family's 1533-position model. The record is from RNAcentral.
CUACGGGGGGCUGCAGUGAGGAAUAUUGCACAAUGGGGGAAACCCUGAUGCAGCAACGCCGCGUGGAGGAUGACGCAUUUCGGUGUGUAAACUCCUUUUAUCAGAGAAGAAAAUGACGGUAUCUGAUGAAUAAGCUCCGGCUAACUCCGUGCCAGCAGCCGCGGUAAUACGGAGGGAGCAAGCGUUAUUCGGAAUCACUGGGCGUAAAGGACGCGUAGGCGGGACAGUAAGUCAGGUGUGAAAUCCAAUGGCUCAACCAUUGAACUGCACUUGAAACUGCUGACCUAGAGUACUGAAGGGGCAGAUGGAAUUAGUGGUGUAGGGGUAAAAUCCGUAGAUAUCACUAGGAAUACCGAAAGCGAAGGCGAUCUGCUGGGAAGUUACUGACGCUGAGGCGUGAAAGCGUGGGGAGCAAACAGGAUUAGAUACCCCCGUAGUC